This 496-nucleotide ribosomal RNA is filed under the name uncultured bacterium. Its description in RNAcentral is "bacterial SSU rRNA". It matches the Rfam family "Bacterial small subunit ribosomal RNA", at positions 29 to 518 of the family's 1533-position model. The record is from RNAcentral.
AGUUAACGUUGGCGGCGUGCCUAACACAUGCAAGUCGAACGGCAGCAUGGGUGCUUGCACCUGAUGGCGAGUGGCGAACGGGUGAGUAAUGCAUCGGAACGUACCCGGAAGUGGGGGAUAACGUAGCGAAAGUUACGCUAAUACCGCAUAUUCUGUGAGCAGGAAAGCGGGGGAUCGCAAGACCUCGCGCUUCCGGAGCGGCCGAUGUCGGAUUAGCUAGUUGGCGGGGUAAAGGCCCACCAAGGCAACGAUCCGUAGCGGGUCUGAGAGGAUGAUCCGCCACACUGGGACUGAGACACGGCCCAGACUCCUACGGGAGGCAGCAGUGGGGAAUUUUGGACAAUGGGCGCAAGCCUGAUCCAGCCAUGCCGCGUGCAGGAUGAAGGCCUUCGGGUUGUAAACUGCUUUUGUACGGAACGAAAAGCUCUCUCUAAUACAGGGGUGAAUGACGGUACCGUAAGAAUAAGCACCGGCUAACUACGUGCCAGCAGCCGAC